GACGAACGCUGGCGGCGUGCCUAAUACAUGCAAGUCGAGCGAAUCAGUGGGAGCUUGCUCCCUGAGAUUAGCGGCGGACGGGUGAGUAACACGUGGGUAACCUGCCUGUAAGACUGGGAUAACUUCGGGAAACCGGAGCUAAUACCGGAUACGUUCUUUUCUCGCAUGAGGAGAGAUGGAAAGAUGGUUCUGCUAUCACUUACAGAUGGACCCGCGGCGCAUUAGCUAGUUGGUGAGGUAGCGGCUCACCAAGGCGACGAUGCGUAGCCGACCUGAGAGGGUGAUCGGCCACACUGGGACUGAGACACGGCCCAGACUCCUACGGGGGGCAGCAGUAGGGAAUCUUCCGCAAUGGACGAAAGUCUGACGGAGCAACGCCGCGUGAGCGAAGAAGGCCUUCGGGUCGUAAAGCUCUGUUGUUAGGGAAGAACAAGUACGAGAGUAACUGCUCGUACCUUGACGGUACCUAACCAGAAAGCCACGGCUAACUACGUGCCAGCCGCCGCAGUAA
Molecule: ribosomal RNA, 511 nt
Filed under: uncultured bacterium
Lineage: Bacteria
Description: partial 16S ribosomal RNA
Rfam family: Bacterial small subunit ribosomal RNA
Source: RNAcentral